RNAcentral lists this ribosomal RNA (497 nucleotides) under uncultured bacterium. Its description in RNAcentral is "partial 16S ribosomal RNA". It matches the Rfam family "Bacterial small subunit ribosomal RNA", at positions 28 to 507 of the family's 1533-position model. The record is from RNAcentral.
GAUGAACGCUGGCGGCGUGCCUAAUACAUGCAAGUCGAGCGAACAGACGCGGAGCUUGCUCCUUCGACGUUAGCGGCGGACGGGUGAGUAACACGUAGGUAACCUACCUAUCAGACUGGGAUAACUUCGGGAAACCGGAGCUAAUACCGGAUAAUAUUCCGAACCGCAUGGUUCGAUAGUGAAAGAUGGCUUUGCUAUCACUUCUAGCUGGUCCUGCGCCGGAUUAGCUGGUUGGUAAGGUCCCGGCUUACCAAGGCAACGAUACGUAGCCGACCUGAGAGGGUGAGCAGCCACACUGGAACUGAGACACGGUCCAGACUCCUACGGGAGCGAGCAGUACGGAAUCUGGCGCAAUGGGCGAAAGCCUGACGGAGCAACGCCGAGGGAGUGAGGAGGAUCUUCGGAUCGUAAAACUCUGUUAUUAGGGAAGAACAAGCGUGUAAGUAACUGUGCACGUCUUGACGGUACCUAAUCAGAAAGCCACGGCUAACUACGUG